This 456-nucleotide ribosomal RNA is filed under the name Campylobacter gracilis. RNAcentral's name for it is "bacterial SSU rRNA". It matches the Rfam family "Bacterial small subunit ribosomal RNA", at positions 29 to 499 of the family's 1533-position model. Lineage: Bacteria; Pseudomonadati; Campylobacterota; Epsilonproteobacteria; Campylobacterales; Campylobacteraceae. The record is from RNAcentral.
AGUGAACGCUGGCGGCGUGCCUAAUACAUGCAAGUCGAACGGAAUUUAAAAGAGCUUGCUCUUUUGAAUUUAGUGGCGCGCGGGUGAGUAAUAUAUAGCUAAUCUGCCCCUUGCUGGAGGACAACAGUUAGAAAUGACUGCUAAUACUCCAUACUCCUUUUUACCAUAAGAUAAAUCGGGAAAGAAUUUCGGCAAGGGAUGAGACUAUAUCGUAUCAGCUAGUCGGUGGGGUAACGGCCUACCGAGGCUAUGACGCGUAACUGGUCUGAGAGGAUGAUCAGUCACAUUGGAACUGAGACACGGUCCAAACUCCUACGGGAGGCAGCAGUAGGGAAUAUUGCGCAAUGGGGGAAACCCUGACGCAGCAACGCCGCGUGGAGGAUGACACUUUUCGGAGCGUAAACUCCUUUUGUUAGGGAAGAAUAAUGACGGUACCUAACGAAUAAGCACCGGUAA